RNA transcript from Solanum verrucosum, 3488 nucleotides. RefSeq lists it as uncharacterized. Lineage: Eukaryota; Viridiplantae; Streptophyta; Magnoliopsida; Solanales; Solanaceae. The record is from RefSeq and is a predicted model, not a curated record. The transcript is spliced from 4 exons.
ACAUUAUUGAUUGCUUCUCUUCUCAUCGACCAUUUUCUCUUCUUCAUCAUCAUUCACUCAUCACACAGCAUCCAAUUUAUCUGUUUAAUCUUUGUAUGUAAUGUGUCUGUAGACGGAAAUGUUCAAAAAUCUUCUCAAUUCCCCCACUUUUUCGGCUUCUUACCAUCUUUAUUAGGGCUUAAAUUACUUUUUUCCACAAAGGGGUUGAGCUAUUCAAUACGUUUAACGGUUAUUUAGGGGAAAACCCAUCUGGGUUUUGGAUUUUGAUUGGAAUUGUAAACAAAUUCUUGAUUAAUUAGGGAAAACCCAUCUGGGUUUUUUUGGAUUUUUAUAAUUUGGAAUUGGAUUGCUGAUUUUGUGUGGUGAUGACUUUUACUGGGAACGAUGAAGAGGAAGGGUUAGUGGUGGUGAUGCCAGCGCCGUUGUUGGGGUUGGCGAAGGAAGAUCUGAAGGGUGAUUAUGUGAAAUUAGGUGGUGGUGAUGAUUUGGGGGAGGAUAAUCGUUUUGUUGCGGGUUGUAUGAGUGCUUCGUCUUCUGAGCUUAGCUAUGAAGGGAAUAGCAGAUGUUGGUCUCUUUGGUGGUGGGCUAAGCUGGUACUUGUUCUUAUUUUUGUGGGAGUAUUGGCUGCUGUGUUUCUCAAAUGGGUUGGACCCUUCUUCAUGGAUAAGGAGAUUAUUCCAAUACUGAAUUGGGAAACCAGGACAUUCAGUACUCCAGUACUAGCAGUUCUAGUUUAUGCUUCUGUGGCACUAUUCCCCACCCUGCUUUUACCGUCCACUCCCUCCAUGUGGGUAGCUGGGAUGACGUUCGGAUAUGGUUUUGGUUUUCUACUAAUCAUUGCAGCAGUUCCUAUCGGUGUAUCUCUUCCUUAUUUCAUAGGUCAUCUUUUCCAUCACAAAAUCCAAAGCUUGAUAGAAAGAAAUCCCAAGAAUGCUUCUGUUAUAAGACUAGCUGGUGAAGGGAAUUGGUUUAAUCAGGCCCGAGCUGUCACAUUAAUCAGGAUUUCCCCUUUCCCGUACAUAGUCUUUAAUUACUGUGCAAUGGCAACCGGUGUCAAGUACGGUCCUUAUUUGCUGGGGACACUCAUUGGCAUGGUUCCAGAAAUAUUUGUUACAAUUUACACGUAAGAAUUCUCUUUCGUUUCUUGUGUAUGAAAAUUAACUUGCUGUGUGUAUUUCUUGUGACAGCAAUAUCUGUUGAUGAAUUACCUAUUAGGGGUGGGCAGUUCCUGCUCUCCAUUCCUCUAUGUCUGCAUCCCUCCCUCUCCUCAAACCUCUGGUUUCUAAAGAUUAUAAUGCAACCUUUGUGGGAUUACACUCUACCCUCCUCCAGCCGCACUUGCACUGUGUAUGUUGUUGUUGUUGUGGGUGCACUAAAAAAGAUAAGGGAUAAUAAUCUACUUCUCAGUGAGUAAAAAUCUUCUCUAUUCCAUCAAAAGCUAUCAUAUUUCUCCCCAUGGUCCACUUAAGUGCCAUGAGAGCAACAUCCCACAUCCUACAGAUUUCUUCCAUCUUUUAAUUAACCAUCUGAACAUGGCUUCUUUAACCGUGCCUGGCAUUAUGACUCGACCAAACCCUAACAGUGUUUCCAUCAGAAGCGAGACACUAUCCAGCAAUCUAGAAGUAGGUGGUUCAUAUCUUCUCCCGAGCUUUUAAACCUGAUGCACCAACUGACGUGUAAUCUUCCUCUUUUUCAAAUUCUCAGCCGUUAAUAUCAUCUUCUCACAACUAGCCGAUUCGGAAAGGGAUAAUAUGUAUGUGGGUAUAAAGGUUAAUUGUUCUUCUCCAAGUUAUGUUAUGAUCCUGGUUAAUGUUUGAUUUUUUUUGAAGUACAAAAGCAAUUUGGUUAAUGUUUCAGCAUAACUUUGUUCAAUGCUGGUGGAAAAGUUCUUUAGCUCUCCUUUCCUCUUUUCCCCUUGCCAUGCUUCUGGUUGCCUAUAAUUUUGAACUUAGAUGCACAACCUGACAUUUUUUUCCGAACUUAGUUAAAUAUGCUCUCUAUAAGUGAAGGUCAUUGCAGGAUAUUUGAGAAACCUUAUUCUCAAAUGCAGAAAAAGCUAUUUUUUAUUGCUUCCUUGUCCUAUUAUAUUAUCUCUGUUUUGGGGGGACUCAGUAUUGUGCAAUGCUACACUAAGAUUUCAUUCUUUCAGCUAAGUAACUGUCAUGCUCUUGCUGUUGUAUUUCUCUGACACAGAAUUAACUAAUUGUGGACAAUAUUUAAACUUUUAUGUAUCAAACAUGAACAAAAUAGUUAUAUCUCAAGAAAAGUUAUUGUGGAAUUCAACUUGAUAGUAAAAUAUAGUAUAGUAAUAAGAUUUGUGCUUCGUGGCCGAAGCUAAAGUUUAUACGUUUAAUUUAAACACUUGAUAGUGUUUUCAAAACCCAUAAAACUCUUCACCAAUAGUUAUAUGAAAGGAGUCGAGGACUCGCAUUAACAAUAAUGGUUCUUCAUUUCAACUAUUAUAUUUGCACUAGUUACAUACUUAAAGUAGGAAGGCAAAGAAGUAACUUGUGACUCGGAAUCAUUUGGCUUACCUAUUCUAUUAAAUAACGAAGAAUUUCUGCUUUUACUUGUUAAUUUCUUUCAAGAUAAUUGUAGUCCACGAUUACGUGCUUUUAGGAAGAAAAAGAACAGCAAUCGAUUUGUGUCUUCUUCUGAUUUUUCUUAUUUAUGGUUGUUGAUUCUAUUUCCAUAAAUUGCACAAGUUUUAUUGCCUUCAAUGUUUAGUACUCUGCUUGUCUGUGAUUAUUUGGGUUUUGGUUCCUUUUGCACUGUUGUUUUGGAGGACCGUUGUGGCAGGAGUGCCAUUGGAUCGGAAGGGUUCCAUGGUUCAUUCUCCGGGGAGAAUGCAAACUGAACACAAAGCAAGCUUUUUCCUAGUGUUAGGAGGGUUUCAUUUGGUGUAUGCUGCCUGCCAGAUUCUGACAGAUGUUUACUUUUCAUUAUUAAAACUUCCUCUCGUCUGGUUUUAUUCUAUUAAAAUAGUGUCCUGUUUACUGAUUAAGAAAACUUCAACUUGCUGAAUACCUUUACUUCCAACUUUCUCUGCAGUGGCAUCCUGAUAAAGACUCUUGCAAAUGCCUCGCAAGAGCAACGUUUUUUAUCAGCUCCACAGAUCAUUCUUAAUGUUCUUGGAUUUAGUUUCACGUUUGUUACAACGGUGCUGAUCACUGUAUAUGCAAAAAGGCGGCUCAAGGAACUACAGAGAGAUGAGGAGCUGUUGCUACAGUGAGUUUCUGCUUUGUUAUUUGUGUCUGGACAGGUGAAAGAAACGAAGUAAAGGGAUCUCAGAGAUUCUUUAAUGACCGAGAAGGUCAUUUGCAUCCAUCGAGAAUCUUUAUCGCUGUAUAGGAUAUUAUCUGCACAUCACCUUAUAGCGGAGAUCAAUCGACAAUCAUUUGUCACUUUGGUUUUAUUUACUGCACAGAUCGCGCACCACUGCAAGGAUGGUUCAAAAGCAGGAGACGAACAUACCUGACAUACACAGA